This 71-nucleotide transfer RNA is filed under the name Pseudomonadota bacterium. Its description in RNAcentral is "Proteobacteria bacterium (activated sludge metagenome) tRNA-Arg". It matches the Rfam family "tRNA". From Rfam's summary of the family: Transfer RNA (tRNA) molecules are approximately 80 nucleotides in length. Their secondary structure includes four short double-helical elements and three loops (D, anti-codon, and T loops). Further hydrogen bonds mediate the characteristic L-shaped molecular structure. tRNAs have two regions of fundamental functional importance: the anti-codon, which is responsible for specific mRNA codon recognition, and the 3' end, to which the tRNAs corresponding amino acid is attached (by aminoacyl-tRNA synthetases). tRNAs cope with the degeneracy of the genetic code in two manners: having more than one tRNA (with a specific anti-codon) for a particular amino acid; and 'wobble' base-pairing, i.e. permitting non-standard base-pairing at the 3rd anti-codon position. Lineage: Bacteria; Pseudomonadati; Pseudomonadota. The record is from RNAcentral.
GCCUCUUUAGUUUAAUGGUAGAACAUGGGUUUCCUAAACUCCUGAUAAGGGUUCGAUUCCCUUAAGAGGUU